This 251-nucleotide unclassified non-coding RNA is filed under the name uncultured fungus. RNAcentral's name for it is "partial contains 5.8S ribosomal RNA, internal transcribed spacer 2, and large subunit ribosomal RNA". Lineage: Eukaryota; Fungi. The record is from RNAcentral.
AACGCACAUUGCGCCCGCCAGCAUUCUGGCGGGCAUGCCUGUUCGAGCGUCAUUUCAACCCUCAAGCACCGCUUGGCGUUGGGGCCCUACGGCUUCCGUAGGCCCCGAAAUACAGUGGCGGACCCUCCCGGAGCCUCCUUUGCGUAGUAACAUACCACCUCGCACUGGGAUCCGGAGGGACUCCUGCCGUAAAACCCCCCAAUUUUCCAAAGGUUGACCUCGGAUCAGGUAGGAAUACCCGCUGAACUUAA